GAGACCCGUACCCACAGUUGCCAGCGGCUGCUCCGGCAGGCUGGGUACACCGUGGGGACCGCCUCUGCUAAAGAGGAGGAAGGAGCGGGCGACGGUAGGUCAGUAUGCCCCGAAUUCUCCGGGCUACACGCGGGCUACAAUGGAUAGGACAAUGGGUAACUACACCGAAAGGUGGCGUCAAUCUCUUAAACCUAUCCUUAGUUCGGAUUGAGGGCUGAAACUCGCCCUCAUGAAGAUGGAAUCCGUAGUAAUCGCAUUUCAAAACAGUGCGGUGAAUAC
This 279-nucleotide ribosomal RNA is filed under the name uncultured methanogenic archaeon. RNAcentral describes it as "partial 16S rRNA". It matches the Rfam family "Archaeal small subunit ribosomal RNA", at positions 1047 to 1325 of the family's 1478-position model. Lineage: Archaea; Methanobacteriati; Methanobacteriota. The record is from RNAcentral.